ACACGCAUGACACACUGCAUAUCAAUAAGCGGAGGAAAAGAAACUAACUAGGAUUCCCUUAGUAACGGCGAGUGAAGCGGGAAGAGCUCAAAUUUGAAAUCUUCAAGGUUCUACCUUGACGAAUUGUAGUUUAAAGAAGUGUUUUCUGUUGGAGUUUUGGUAAAAGUUCUUUGGAAUAGGACAUCAUAGAGGGUGAGAAUCCCGUAUUUGACCAUUAUUUCCAGCUGUGUGAUACACUUUCAAAGAGUCGGAUUGUUUGGGAAUGCAGUCCAAAAUGGGUGGUAAAUUUCAUCUAAAGCUAAAUAUUGGCGAGAGACCGAUAGCGAACAAGUACCGUGAGGGAAAGAUGAAAAGAACUUUGAAAAGAGAGUUAAACAGUACGUGAAAUUGUCAAAAGGGAAGCGUUUGACACCAGUGUUGUUUUCUCGAAAAUCAAUUAAAAAUGAUGGGAUUUUGUGUUGUAUUGACUUUAUCAGCUUUCUGCACUUUUUUCUUAUCUUUUUUAAUGCACUUUUCGUUUAACAAGUCAACAUCAAUUUCUUUUGUUGUAAAAGAGUCAUUGGAAGGUGGCUUUUUCUUCGGAAAAAGUGUUUAUAGCCUUUGGCUUCUGCAAUCGGAGAGAUUGAGGUCUGCAGCGUAGAUCCUUCGGGGUUAGAUACAUUUGUGCUAAGCUAUAGUUCUUUAUAGACAACUUGUUGACUAUAAUCAAUCCUGUAACUUACUCGCUUAUGCUAUUUUACCUACGCUUAGGAUGUUGACUGAUAUGUAGUCGUA
Molecule: ribosomal RNA, 774 nt
Filed under: uncultured Neocallimastigales
Lineage: Eukaryota; Fungi; Neocallimastigomycota; Neocallimastigomycetes; Neocallimastigales
Description: partial large subunit ribosomal RNA
Rfam family: Eukaryotic large subunit ribosomal RNA
Source: RNAcentral